Molecule: RNA transcript, 624 nt
Organism: Spinacia oleracea (spinach)
Lineage: Eukaryota; Viridiplantae; Streptophyta; Magnoliopsida; Caryophyllales; Amaranthaceae
Gene name: serine/threonine-protein kinase BSK7-like
Exons: 3
Source: RefSeq, a predicted model, not a curated record
AAUAAAUUCAGUGGGUCUGAUUUUUCUGGGAAUAGGGCCUUCACCAGAGAGUGAUGCUUCUGUCAUUCUUGAUAUGAGAAUCUAUUUUUCCAUUUUCGAGGCAUGUGUACAGCCAGACUUUCAUAUAGUGUUCAUUCACCCCCACUUGCAAUCGAAUAUUUUCACGAGUUCCAUAUUCCCUUUUCUUAGGGAAAGAAUCGUUAUCAGAAAAUAAAAAUAUCACGGACUAAUCACAAUUUUAAAGAUCAAAUAUGUGUUCAAUCAAGUAGGGUGACCCCAGAGAGCUUGAUAUAUAGUUUUGGAACCCUUUUGCUUGAUCUGUUAAGCGGAAAGCAUAUCCCUCCAAGCCAUGCUCUUGACUUGAUUCGUGACAGAAACAUUCAAACAAUGAUGGAUUCUUGCUUGGAAGGCCAGUUCUCGAAUGAUGAUGGUGGUCGUAAUUUGUAUUAUAACAAGAAGUAACGAACUUAGAUGUUUAUGAAAAUAUUAGGAAUUUAAAUUUAAUUUCUUCAAAAGUUUAAUGAUCUCGUGUAAACGUAGCCAAACUUAGUAAUUAAAAGACAAACUCUUUGAAGUUAUGAUCUAAACAAUUUAUUUACAACGUACGGAGUUGUUAUUUAUGGA